UGGCUCCGAGGGCGACUCCUGAGCCGGGGCGAUGGGCGCCCCUCGGACAGCCCUAGAAACCCUCUCCAUUCCAGAGUGACACGCUGGGGGCGGGCUCCCAGCCUCUUUUUCUAAACUACAGAUCCGCCCCAGGAGGGCUCUGCCGGGGUCUGCAGCCCCAGGGAAGGUCGGGACUGCGGAGGCGCCGCUGGCCCGCUGGGAGGGGCAGCCGCCCAAGUCCCCCUCGCCGGCCCGCGCAGGGCCUCGGGCCUCAUCCCAGAGGAGCGCCCCAGAUCACGAUCCUCAAGCCCCGCCAGGGCUCCCGCCCCAGGGCAGCGCCCUGGACCUCCGCCCCGCGUCGGCGGUGCGAGACUAAGUUAAAGACGCUCCUAGGAGAAGAAGCAGGAGGUCGACUUCUGGGUCUGAGCGCUGGAUGCGGCGCGGUGGCCACAAGCAGCUCAGGAAACCGGUAAAGAGCCGCUUCCUGCUGCGGCAUGGGGCAAAGCAGUUAAGAGGCGGGAAAAGCUGCUUCCUGCCGCGACAGCGCAGAUCGUGGGGCAAAUUAGUUAAGAGGCGGGAACUGGGUCUAAAAGACGGGCUCCUUCCUUUCGGCAAGGAGAUAAAAUGGGAAAAUGAGACGCGCGGACACCCAAAAGGGUCCUGCUCCAGGAAUUAAAAUGUGAACAUUUGUGUUGUUGGCCCAGGACCGUCUUCAUCUUACCUGACUACUCCACCCGGAACCAGCUUACUCCUGGGCCUCCUCCUGACCUCCUAGCGGCUGCCACCUCCGAAGUCCUUCCACCCACCCACCCAGCCCACUCUUUCUCCAGCUUGUCUCGAACAUCUUGUCUCCUGAGCACCUGUCACCUUGUUCCUGACCCCUCUACUUACCUAGGAGAGCCAGGAGACCAAACAGCAGGGUGACUUAGGCGCUCGAUGCAAGGACCAGCAUGGGCAAGCCAUGGAAGCAGAAGUAAGGUGUAGUUGGCUUCAUGGUGACUUGGCCACAGAAACAGGUUGUGUUAGGGUGACAAACGUCAAGUGCCAGACUACAGAAGACCCUGAAAUUUAAGCAGGAGAGGUAACAGUGCCCAGGUUGGCAAGGAGGAGACAGCCACAGAUUCUGUGAAAGGCAUGGGCCUCUUGAACAGUGUUUUUUGUUGUUUUGCUUUGUUUUGUGGUACUGGGGACCGAGUCUAGGGCCUUGCCCUGAACUACAAACCAGACCUUUUUACUUUUUGAGUCAGGGUCUCACUAAGCCACUGACUUGUCCAGGCUGGGCUCAAACCUUUAAUCCUCCUGUCUCAGCCUCCCAGAGCACUGAGAUUACAGGCAUGUGCCACCAUACCAGCUCUGAUGAUGUUUUUAGAAAACUCAACACCAUGUGCAGACUGGAUUAAUCCACCAAGAAAAAGGAGGCAAGUGAGACUGUCUGGUUGUUUUGUAACUGUAAGAGACACAUCAAAAAACAGCUCAGAAAAGGGAUAGGCAGCACCCUACUGUAUCCCACCAGGCACCAGGCAGGAGAGAGGAUGCAGGACUGGGGCUCCUUGGAUCAUAUGGGGGCAAGUCCAGGGUAAGGCAAGGGCAGAUGUUUCCUUGACCCAUUCUUGCACUGCCUGCUUGACCUAGCUGCAUUUCUACCUGGCCCUAAUCUUGUGUGUCUUUAAAGACAGGACACCAGUAAGCCAAAGUCCCUCUUUCAGAUGGGCUGGCUGAGACUGGUUGGACCCAAGAUGGCUGCUAGAGUGACUGCCAGACCACCCUCCUUAUAAUCCCAUCUGCACACCCAAUGGCAAACUCCCCAGUGCUAGGACAGUUGACAAUUUCUGUGACAGUGACUAGAAAGAACCAUGAGAAGAAGGAAGAAGUGGCACCUGAAUGCCCAGAAAAGUCAUAGCUAUUCUGCCCUUUACUAGCCUAUCUCUCCCCCUCAGUUCUUUUACCUUAUAUCCAUAGUCCCCGGGCCCCCAACAGAUUUGUGGGUUUUAUCUCCCACUUCUCCUGUCCUUAGCCAAGAAGAAAAUUCUUUUCUGCUCCAUCAGGGCUUGGUCUUAUUGGUUCUGCAGUUCUGAGAGGGAUAAAGAACCCAGUUUGGGGUGAGAAAUUGGUGACACAGUGAUCCUUUGAAAUAAGUUUCUCCCAAAAGCUGGAACAAGCUGAAGAGAUAAAUAUAGAGUUUGCUACAGGAUGAGCAUAUUUUUUUUUCUGAAUAGAAAGGGAUUAAUUUCCUGGUAACAAGGAGAAUGAGUUGGGAACCUUUUUACAGUGUCUUCUCAAAUGCAUUACCAUUUGAAGAACCUGCCGGGGGUCCUCCUUCCUCAGUCACCUGCUGAUCCAGUGAGCACCAGUCACCUGCAGGUGGCCCAGCCCCCUUCUCACCCCAUUCAUGUGUCUGCACCUCUAUUGGCUCAGCAGAUAGUGGCAGGUCGCAACUGUGUGCAAGGGGAAGACAGUGCCUCCUAAAAGGAGCUGAAUUAGCUUAGCACACAAGGAAAUUGAGGAAGCUAGACAGGAAAUGCUGAAUCUGGAGAGGGUGCAGGUCAGAACCCCAGCUGCAAGAGACAUUGUCCUGGAAAGAGUAGUCUGGUAGGACCCGCAAAUCUCUUACCCACACCCAGGCUGCCUCUACAGAGCAGUGAGCCAGGAGCCUUAGCUGUGGCACUCACUGGCCCUGAAUGCUAAGAAACCUUAUGUAAGUCUCUCCCUCCCCUCCAUCUAAGAUGCCUCCUGUUUAAAUGGAAGCACCUAGAGCAGAUAAGAGCUUUCCAGCCUAUCUUGACUGGAGAACCCCUUUCACCAUGCAACUCCUACCAGCACCUCGAAAUUAGCUUAAUCAUUUAACAGAUGGUGUAACACAUAUACCAAAAAGUGAUAUUUAAAUAAAACUUAUUUUAGAUCAAUGUAUAAUAUUAAAAUGGCAAUGCCUGUAGUAUAAAAAGACUAAUCUCAACAUUUUCCCAUUUACCAAGUAAUUCAAAAUGUUUAACUUAAUUAUCUAAGGGGAGACCAUGCUUUGUUCAUAACUUUUAAAAUAACAUGUCCUUUGGUAUUGGGACAAAUGUACUGUAUAUUAAAAUGUAUGAAAUUUAA
Molecule: non-coding RNA, 3072 nt
Organism: Heterocephalus glaber (naked mole-rat)
Lineage: Eukaryota; Metazoa; Chordata; Mammalia; Rodentia; Bathyergidae
Source: RefSeq, a predicted model, not a curated record